GCCGCGUGUAGGAAGAAUGCCCUAUGGGUUGUAAACUACUUUUAUACAGGAAGAAACACUGGUAUGUAUACCAGCUUGACGGUACUGUAAGAAUAAGGACCGGCUAACUCCGUGCCAGCAGCCGCGGUAAUACGGAGGGUCCAAGCGUUAUCCGGAAUCAUUGGGUUUAAAGGGUCCGCAGGCGGUUUAUUAAGUCAGAGGUGAAAUCCCAUAGCUCAACUAUGGAACUGCCUUUGAUACUGGUUAACUUGAGUCAUAUGGAAGUAGAUAGAAUGUGUAGUGUAGCGGUGAAAUGCAUAGAUAUUACACAGAAUACCGAUUGCGAAGGCAGUCUACUACGUAUGUACUGACGCUGAGGGACGAAAGCGUGGGGAGCGAACAGGAUUAGAUACCCUGGUAGUCCACGCCGUAAACGAUGGAUACUAGUUGUUGGGAUUUA
This 439-nucleotide ribosomal RNA is filed under the name Arctic sea ice bacterium AWS-7B3. RNAcentral's name for it is "bacterial SSU rRNA". It matches the Rfam family "Bacterial small subunit ribosomal RNA", at positions 396 to 832 of the family's 1533-position model. The record is from RNAcentral. Lineage: Bacteria; Pseudomonadati; Bacteroidota. RNAcentral also lists the same sequence under 1 other name.